GACGUAGGGCGCAAGCGUUGUCUGGAUUUAUUGGGCGUAAAGAGCUCGUAGGCGGCUUGUUGCGUCGACUGUGAAAUCCCGCGGCUUAACUGCGGGCUUGCAGUUGAUACGGGCAGGCUGGAGUUCGGUAGGGGAGACUGGAAUUCCUGGUGUAGCGGUGAAAUGCGCAGAUAUCAGGAGGAACACCGGUGGCGAAGGCGGGUCUCUGGGCCGAUACUGACGCUGAGGAGCGAAAGCGUGGGGAGCGAACAGG
Molecule: ribosomal RNA, 253 nt
Filed under: uncultured bacterium
Lineage: Bacteria
Description: partial 16S ribosomal RNA
Rfam family: Bacterial small subunit ribosomal RNA
Source: RNAcentral